RNAcentral lists this ribosomal RNA (1491 nucleotides) under metagenome. RNAcentral's name for it is "bacterial SSU rRNA". It matches the Rfam family "Bacterial small subunit ribosomal RNA". The record is from RNAcentral.
AGAGUUUGAUCCUGGCUCAGAACUAACGCUGGCGGCGCGUCUUAAACAUGCAAGUCGAACGGUAAGGCUCCUUCGGGAGUACGCGAGUGGCGAACGGGUGAGAACACGUAGGUAUCUGCCCUAAAGAGGGGGAUAACAUCGGGAAACUGGUGCUAAUACCCCAUAGUCCCUUUUUCUUUCUGAAGAAUGGGUAAAGAAUGAUUACAUUCGCUUUGGGAUGAGCCUGCGGCCUAUCAGCUUGUUGGCGGGGUAAUGGCCCACCAAGGCUAUAACGGGUAGCCGGCCUGAGAGGGUGAACGGUCACACUGGAACUGAGACACGGUCCAGACUCCUACGGGAGGCAGCAGUUAAGAAUAUUGGACAAUGGGCGAAAGCCUGAUCCAGCGACGCCGCGUGAACGAUGAAGGCCUUCGGGUUGUAAAGUUCAGUAAGAUAGGAAGAAUAAGUGCGGUCCAACAGGCCGCAUGAUGACGGUACUAUCCUAUAGCCCCGGCUAAUUACGUGCCAGCAGCCGCGGUAAUACGUAAGGGGCAAGCGUUGUUCGGAAUUAUUGGGCGUAAAGGGCACGCAGGCGGAUUAUUAAGUUGGAUGUAUAAUCUUCAGGCUCAACCUGAAGCCCGCAUCCAAAACUGGUAAACUAGAGUCCUGGAGAGGAAAGCGGAAUUCUCGGUGUAGCGGUGGAAUGCGUAGAUAUCGAGAAGAACACCAAGGGCGAAGGCAGCUUUCUGGACAGUGACUGACGCUCAUGUGCGAAAGCGUGGGUAGCAAACAGGAUUAGAUACCCUGGUAGUCCACGCCGUAAACUUUGUACACUAGGUGAUGGGGGUUUCAACGCCUUCGUUGCCGCAGCUAACGCAUUAAGUGUACCGCCUGGGGAGUACGCUCGCAAGGGUGAAACUCAAAGGAAUUGACGGGGGCCCGCACAAGCGGUGGAGCAUGUGGUUUAAUUCGACGAUACGCGAAGAACCUUACCCGGGUUUGACAUUCACUGGACUGGCGUAGAGAUACGCCUUCCUUUAUGGCCAGUGAACAGGUGUUGCAUGGUUGUCGUCAGCUCGUGUUGUGAGAUGUUGGGUUAAGUCCCGCAACGAGCGCAACCCUUACCUCCUGUUGCUACCAAGCAAUUGGGCACUCUGGAGGAACUGCCGGUGACAAACCGGAGGAAGGUGGGGAUGACGUCAAAUCAGCAUGGCCCUUACGUCCGGGGCUACACACGUGCUACAAUGGCUGGUACAAAGGAAUGCGAAUCCGCGAGGUGGAGCAAAUCCCAAAAAAAACCAGUCCCAGUUCGGAUUGCAGUCUGCAACUCGACUGCAUGAAGUCGGAAUCGCUAGUAAUCGCGAAUCAGCAAUGUCGCGGUGAAUACGUUCCCGGGCCUUGUACACACCGCCCGUCACACCACCCGAGUUGGCGGCACCUGAAGCGGCUGAGCUAGCCUGAUUUCUUCACGGAAAUCUGGAGGCAGGUCACCAAGGUGAAGUUGGCGAGGGG